Long non-coding RNA from Magnolia sinica, 433 nucleotides. RefSeq lists it as uncharacterized. The transcript has 2 exons. NCBI's taxonomy places the organism in Eukaryota, Viridiplantae, Streptophyta, Magnoliopsida, Magnoliales, Magnoliaceae. The record is from RefSeq and is a predicted model, not a curated record.
UUUGGGUGGAGCAUUGGUAACAGAGGGGGGCUUUGCUACUUCAUAUGGAGAUGGAUAUGGACUUCAUUCAGGUGGUGCUGACAAAGGUCCUCUAUAUGGCAUGAGUUUUGGUUCUUGGGAUGCAUUUGAGAAGUCUCGCCUCGGGUGUCGCUGAAAUCCGUUGAUUUUUUUUUUUUCCUUCUGCUUUUCCUUGUGUCUCAAUCUGUAAAUUUUCUGUCCAUUAUAUAACCUUUCAUUCUCAGGCCCCCUGUAAAUGAGGCUAGUUGUAAAUGAUUUACAAGUUGUGUUUGAAUGCUUAUUUAAGCUUGUAAAGGUCUUUUUAUUCAGAAGAUUCAGCCUAACAGAAUUUUUAAUUGUUUCUAUUAUUUUUUCUUUUACAUUGUAAAUGAUGUACCGGCGUUUUAAACAGAUUUUACUGGCGUUUUUUAAUCUC